GUUGACACUACUGCAAUCAGCGGUUAAAGGUCCUGGAUUCGAUUCCUGGGGAGACCCCCGAAUUAGUCGGGAGCGCAAGAAUAUGGCUAGCUGUUGAGAUGUGGAGUUGAAGUCACAUUUGAUGUACCAGAUUCGCACGCUGAAUUGGUGGCGAUUGCCGAACCCCCCGUCUCUUCGGGUGUUCGGGUGAAUGAAGGCUGGAUCCGCCGCCUUGGACUUACAGUUCGUAUGGCGAAGUACAGUGUGGUAGUGGUGGGUGGUGCUAUAAGGUGAUACAUGAUCGUAGAACUGACAAUGUGAUAAAGCGGCCCAGAAGCCUCCCACUCUGUAACAUUACAUUACAUCACACAUUUCACAUCCUCCAUCAGUUUAGCAAGUCUCCAAGGGUGUAUUUCCAGUGCGGAUUAACGCCAGGGAUUAGCGUUAAUCCCUGUGCUAAUCCCAGCAGUGGAAAUCCCACCGGGAUUAAGCAGGAUUCGCCGGUGAUUCAGGAAUUCCUAGGACACCGUGCUUUCUAUUCAGAGGACUAGCAGGGGUAAGCAAGACAUUAGGAAAGAACGUAAAUUGAACUUGAUGUCCAUGUAUUUACCUGGCAACUUGUGACAAAAAAGUUAUUACCUGGCCCCACCCAGGUAGUAACUUUCCGUUCCUGGAUUAGCGUUCAUGGCGUUAUAUCUUACAUUAAUGUCUAAAACCCAGGAAUACCUAGGUAUUUCCAUAUGGAUGACCUCAAGUAAGCAAGUAGCAAUAUCUGAUUUGGUUUGCGCGAAAGGUGCUACUUCAAUGUCAGGCCUCAACGGUGGCCACAACGGCGAGAAGAGUGCGCUUCCUGCCCAUACUUUAUACUCAUACGAUUUGCCUAAUGCCCAAAGCAAUUCAGAACUGGUCUGGUCUGGUCUGGGUUGACACUACUGCAAUCAGCGGUUAAAGGUCCUGGGUUCGAUUCCUGGGGAGACCCCCGAAUUAGUCGGGAGCGCGAGAUUAUGGCUAUAGCUGCUGAAAUGUGGAGUUGAGGUCACAGUUGAUGGACCAGAUUCGCACGCUAGAUUGGUGGCGAUUGCCGAACCCUCCGUCUCUUCGGGUGUUCGGGUGAAUGGAUGUCCGCCCUAGACGGCUGAACCCGCCGCCUUGGACUUACAGUUCGUAUGGCGAAGUAUAGUGUGGUAGUGGUGGACGGUGCUAUAAGAUGAUACAUCGUAGAACUGACAAUGUGAUAAAGCGGCCCAGAACCCCCCCACUCUGUAACAUUACAAAAAAAAAGAACUGGUAAUUAGCUUCGGGAUCGCAUCAGAAAAUGUGCAUCGC
Molecule: long non-coding RNA, 1305 nt
Filed under: Volvox carteri
Lineage: Eukaryota; Viridiplantae; Chlorophyta; Chlorophyceae; Chlamydomonadales; Volvocaceae
Description: long non-coding RNA (VCAR_LNC000376)
Source: RNAcentral